This 607-nucleotide small RNA is filed under the name uncultured fungus. RNAcentral describes it as "eukaryotic LSU rRNA". The stretch from base 215 to 369 matches the Rfam family "5.8S ribosomal RNA". The record is from RNAcentral. Lineage: Eukaryota; Fungi.
GGAAGGAUCAUUACCGAAUUGUCAAACACGGGUUGUUGCUGGCCCCCGAACGGGGCAUGUGCACGCUCUGUUUACACAUCCACUCACACCUGUGCACCCUCUGUAGUUCUGUGGACCGGGAGACAUUGUCUUCCUUCCGUAGCUCUACGUCUUUACACACACACCGUAGCAAUGUCUCAUGGAAUGUUUUUUCGCGUUUAACGCAAUACAAUACAACUUUCAGCAACGGAUCUCUUGGCUCUCGCAUCGAUGAAGAACGCAGCGAAAUGCGAUAAGUAAUGUGAAUUGCAGAAUUCAGUGAAUCAUCGAAUCUUUGAACGCACCUUGCGCCCCUUGGUUAUUCCUCGGAGCAUGCCUGUUUGAGUAUCAUGAACACCUCAACUCUCAUGGUCUUCCAUGAUGAGCUUGGACUUUGGGGGUUUGCUGGCCUUGUGGCCGGCUCCUCUCAAAUGAAUCAGCUUGCCAGUGUUUGGCGGCGUCACGGGUGUGAUAACUAUCUACGCUCGCGGUUGUCCGUCAGGUAACCCUCAGCGAUGAAGGUUCAUUGGGGCUCAUAAACGUCUCUCCCCAGCGAGGACAACUUUUGAACGUUCGAUCUCAAAUCAGG